Molecule: ribosomal RNA, 375 nt
Filed under: uncultured bacterium
Lineage: Bacteria
Description: bacterial SSU rRNA
Rfam family: Bacterial small subunit ribosomal RNA
Source: RNAcentral
GACGAACGCUGGCGGCGUGCUUAACACAUGCAAGUCGAGCGGUAAGGCCCUUUCGGGGGUACACGAGCGGCGAACGGGUGAGUAACACGUGGGUGACCUGCCCUCAGCUCUGGGAUAAGCCCGGGAAACUGGGUCUAAUACCGGAUAUGACUCCAUGACGCAUGUUGUGGGGUGGAAAGCCUUGUGCGGCCGAGGAUGGGCCCGCGGCCUAUCAGCUUGUUGGUGGGGUGAUGGCCUACCAAGGCGACGACGGGUAGCCGGCCUGAGAGGGCGACCGGCCACACUGGGACUGAGAUACGGCCCAGACUCCUACGGGAGGCAGCAGUGGGGAAUCUUGCGCAAUGGGCGAAAGCCUGACGCAGCGACGCCGCGCGA